GUCUAUUUGAAGGCUUUCGGAAAACCAUCAAUCCUGACAAGAAAAAUAUUGUUAGACUUAUUGAUGAAAUGAACAACAAGAAGCUAACUUGGGAAGAAUUUGCGACUCAAGUUAGGGGCUUACAUGUAAACAGGACAGGAGCACCAAAUGCUAGAGUUGUUGGUGAUUCACCAAAAUUGGAGGAAAAUUUCUAUGCAAAUCCUUUCCCUGGUUGUGUUUGUCCAAGACCUGAAGAGAAGAGCAAAUGACUAAUGAGGUAUUAGAAACAAUAGAAGGCAAUAUAGGCCUAAUUGCUUAUAGGCUUCCAAUGGCUAAAUUUUGCAAUCUCAGUCGCAGAUGGAGAAGUCUCUGAUGAGUAAGUUUCUCCUCCGCUGCACAGAGCCAAAGACCAGUUAACUCGGAGCCAUAUCAGAUUUAUUGUAUAUAUCAUACUCAGCUUGCUGAUUCUUCACUAAUUGAACAUUUAGAACGGGAAAAUCCAUAAAAAAUCAAGUACAAUUACUCAAUAGACAGAUGCUUAUACAAAUCAAGUUUACAUCUAAGCCAUCAGAUUA
Non-coding RNA from Nicotiana tabacum (common tobacco), 554 nucleotides. The record is from RefSeq and is a predicted model, not a curated record. Lineage: Eukaryota; Viridiplantae; Streptophyta; Magnoliopsida; Solanales; Solanaceae.